RNAcentral lists this ribosomal RNA (512 nucleotides) under uncultured bacterium. RNAcentral's name for it is "partial 16S ribosomal RNA". It matches the Rfam family "Bacterial small subunit ribosomal RNA", at positions 28 to 507 of the family's 1533-position model. The record is from RNAcentral.
GAUGAACGCUGGCGGCGUGCCUAAUACAUGCAAGUCGAACGAAACUUCUUUAUCACCGAGUGCUUGCACUCACCGAUAAAGGGUUGAGUGGCGAACGGGUGAGUAACACGUGGGCAACCUGCCCAAAAGAGGGGGAUAACACCUGGAAACAGGUGCUAAUACCGCAUAACCAUAGUUACCGCAUGGUAACUAUGUAAAAGGUGGCUAUACUACCGCUGUUGGAUGGGCCCGCGGCGCAUUAGCUAGUUGGUAGGGUAAAGGCUUACCAAGGCAAUGAUGCGUAGCCGACUUGAGAGGUUGAUCGGCCACAUUGGGACUGAGACACGGCCCAAACUCCUACGGGAGGCAGCAGUAGGGAAUCUUCCACAAUGGGCGAAAGCCUGAUGGAGCAACGCCGCGUGGGUGAAGAAGGUCUUCGGAUCGUAAAACCCUGUUGUUAGAGAAGAAAGUGCGUGAGAGUAACUGUUCACGUUUCGACGGUAUCUAACCAGAAAGCCACGGCUAACUACGUG